AGGUGAACCUGCGGAAGGAUCAUUCAUAAUCAAGUGUUUUUAUGGCACUUUCAAAAAUCCAUAUCCACCUUGUGUGCAAUGUCAUCUCUCUGGGGGCUGCCGGCUGUCAAAAGCCGUGUGGUCACCUUCGGGAUUUAUAUCUACUCAGAACUUUAGUGAUUUUGUCUGAAACAUAUUAUGAAUACUUAAUUCAAAAUACAACUUUCAACAACGGAUCUCUUGGCUCUCG
This 229-nucleotide unclassified non-coding RNA is filed under the name uncultured fungus. RNAcentral describes it as "partial contains 18S rRNA, ITS1 and 5.8S rRNA". The record is from RNAcentral. Lineage: Eukaryota; Fungi.